GACGAACCGUGCGAACGUUGUUCGGAAUCACUGGGUUUAAAGGGUGCGUAGGUGGGUUGGUAAGUCAGUGGUGAAAUCCCCGAGCUUAACUUGGGAACUGCCAUUGAUACUAUCAGUCUUGAAUAUUGUGGAGGUUAGCGGAAUAUGUCAUGUAGCGGUGAAAUGCUUAGAUAUGACAUAGAACACCAAUUGCGAAGGCAGCUGGCUACGCAUAUAUUGACACUGAGGCACGAAAGCGUGGGGAUCAAACAGG
RNAcentral lists this ribosomal RNA (253 nucleotides) under uncultured bacterium. Its description in RNAcentral is "partial 16S ribosomal RNA". It matches the Rfam family "Bacterial small subunit ribosomal RNA", at positions 524 to 776 of the family's 1533-position model. The record is from RNAcentral.